This 253-nucleotide ribosomal RNA is filed under the name uncultured bacterium. Its description in RNAcentral is "partial 16S ribosomal RNA". It matches the Rfam family "Bacterial small subunit ribosomal RNA", at positions 524 to 776 of the family's 1533-position model. The record is from RNAcentral.
AACGUAGGACACGAGCGUUAUCCGGACUUACUGGGCGUAAAGCGCGGGCAGGCGGCGGGCCAAGUCGGAUGUGAAAGCUCCCGGCUCAACCGGGAGAGGCCAUUCGAAACUGGCGUGCUGGAGGGCAGGAGAGGAGCGCGGAAUUCCGGGUGGAGUGGUGAAAUGCGUAGAUAUCCGGAGGAACACCAGAGGCGAAAGCGGCGCUCUGGCCUGCAACUGACGAUGAACCGCGAAAGACAGGGUAGCGAACGGG